GCCGCAGCGAUAGCUCAGUGGGUAAAGCGCCAGGUGAGUAACCUGAGAGCUAUUAUCCGCGCGGGUUCGAAUCCCGCCUGUGGCA
This is a non-coding RNA of Aromia moschata, 85 nucleotides long. The record is from the annotation of a GenBank genome assembly. NCBI's taxonomy places the organism in Eukaryota, Metazoa, Arthropoda, Insecta, Coleoptera, Cerambycidae.